CAGCAAGCAGGAGGCAACGAACUGUCACCUGUAUUUGGUCACUUGGGUGGCGGGGAGCCAGUAGUGAGACCGGCCUGAAGAAGG
RNAcentral lists this non-coding RNA (84 nucleotides) under unclassified sequences. Its description in RNAcentral is "c-di-GMP sequence". It matches the Rfam family "Cyclic di-GMP-II riboswitch aptamer". The record is from Rfam by way of RNAcentral.